ACAACAAGCACAGUGUUAGCAAAUGCUCAAAACAUGUUAAACCCAAAGUCUUUAUUAAGUCUUAAGCUUACCAAUACGGCCAAUUUUCAUGCCGGAACGGGCAAGAGCUCUGAGAGCAGACUGAGCACCAGGACCAGGUGUCUUGGUCUUGUUUCCACCAGUCGCACGGAGCUUCACGUGCAUAGCAGUGAUUCCAAGCUCCUUGCAUCUCUGAGCAACGUCUUGCGCAGCAAGCAUAGCUGCGUAUGGUGACGACUCGUCCCUGUCAGCUUUCACCUUCAUUCCACCUUUAAUAAAAAAACAAAGCACAAAGAUUGAAACUCAGAGACUCGUAGAUAUGUUCUUUCACAUCCAGUAAGAAACAUUUAGACAGGUCAAUAGAUUCUUACCGGUGAUACGGACAAGGGUUUCACGCCCAGACAAAUCAGUAACGUGCUGCAUAAGUGGAGACACAGCAAUGUAAGCUUCCCAUAUAAAUGACAAUGAGAUUGAGAUCUUUUUUUUUUUUUUUUUUUUUUCUAGAAAGCUUACAAUGAAAGGGUCGUUGAAUGAAGCAAAGCUGNNNNNNNNNNNNNNNNNNNNNNNNNNNNNNNNNNNNNNNNNNNNNNNNNNNNNNNNNNNNNNNNAAAAAAAAAAAAAAUUAGAAAUUAAUAAUUCAUCACCCAAACUCUUAAGUAAAAUUAUAAGGCAAACAAUCAGAGGCAAACCUGGUUGCUGUGGCCACACUUCUUCUUCCUGCAGUUGACAGCCCUUGGGUGCAGACGAGCAUAGCACCUAAACCAACACGUCACUCAACAUGAGACACGACGAAACUACUUUACCGACAAGAUCAUACUUAGAUGAACAAGAACAACUCAAGUGUUCUUACUUGCGGCAGAUCAUCUUGUCUUGAUUGUACUUACGAGCCAAAGCCAUUAGAGAGGGCUCAAUGAUACCUCCUCUAAGUCUCAGGACAAGAUGCAGAGUCGACUCUGUUUUACAACCCAAAACAAAAGGUUUCAUUUUUAGAUAAUCCCAUCCAACUAGAGAAAAACAAUCAAAGAGAAAAGUUUUUUUAACCUUUCUGGAUGUUGUAGUCAGCCAAGGUGCGACCAUCUUCGAGCUGCUUACCGGCGAAGAUCAACCUCUGCUGAUCCGGAGGGAUUCCUGAAAGCAGAGGAAUGCAAUUUAUAAGAAAUGCCAAUUUCUUUUUUAAAAAGACAAAAGCAAUUACCUCCUCCUUCUCCUUCGCCGCAAGUCUCAAAACAGAGUUGAUAGUGUAAAGAAAAAAAAUUAUUUGCUAGGCUUUUGCGUUGAAUGUUAGGAUGGGCCUUCAAUUCCAAAGCCCACUAACUUCUGGACAUAGAAGUUCAAUAAAUAAUAAUGGAGAAAAUUCAAAACUAUAAUUUUGAAGUAUUACAAUUCAUCUACCAUUAAUGAAAAAAAUGAAAAAAAAAUACAGAAAGCAAAAUCCUUAAUAAGCAAAAUAUUUUUCAAAAAAAAAUUAACGCAAAUUGCAGUAGUUACAAACAAUUAAAAUCUGCAUAAUCUGAAGUUUUAUGGUUUUGAAUCUUAAAAUAUGUGAUAAGAAAAUAUUAAAUUGUAGUUCGUGUGGAUUGAAUGUACAUUUGUUCACUGAGGAAGUUGCAAAGUUUCUCUUGGUUUUUUUUUUUUGUUCACCUCUUUCUUGGUUAUCUGAUACUUAAUUUUUUUGUGUAAUUACGAAUUUGAGGAAAUAUGGCAGUCUUAUAAAGUAACUUAUUAAGUAAAUUCGCAAAAGUCGUAGAUUAAUUAUUGUAGAAAAAUGUGGUUCAAAAGCAUUGUUCUGACAAAAUGAAACAAGCUAAAACUCAAAAAAAACAUUGCUCAGACAAAAAAGAAACAAGCCAGAAACUCAGAGCCUCCUUCCUCUUCUACCACCCUUUCGGCGGGUACUGUCUGUUGGGAUCGGAGUAACAUCCUCUGCAACAAAGAAACAACAAGCACAGUGUUAGCAAAUGCUCAAAACAUGUUAAACCCAAAGUCUUUAUUAAGUCUUAAGCUUACCAAUACGGCCAAUUUUCAUGCCGGAACGGGCAAGAGCUCUGAGAGCAGACUGAGCACCAGGACCAGGUGUCUUGGUCUUGUUUCCACCAGUCGCACGGAGCUUCACGUGCAUAGCAGUGAUUCCAAGCUCCUUGCAUCUCUGAGCAACGUCUUGCGCAGCAAGCAUAGCUGCGUAUGGUGACGACUCGUCCCUGUCAGCUUUCACCUUCAUUCCAC
This 2241-nucleotide long non-coding RNA is filed under the name Brassica napus (rape). RNAcentral's name for it is "long non-coding RNA (BNAP_LNC016530)". The record is from RNAcentral. Lineage: Eukaryota; Viridiplantae; Streptophyta; Magnoliopsida; Brassicales; Brassicaceae.